UACGUAGGGUGCGAGCGUUGUCCGGAAUUACUGGGCGUAAAGGGCUCGUAGGUGGCCAACUAAGUCAGACGUGAAAUCCCUCAGCUUAACUGGGGAACUGCGUCUGAUACUGGAUGGCUUGAGUUUGGGAGAGGGAUGCGGAAUUCCCAGUGUAGCGGUGAAAUGCGUAGAUAUUGGGAGGAACACCAGUGGCGAAGGCGGCUCACUGGACCGGAACUGACGCUGAGGCGCGAAAGCGUGGGGAGCAAACAGG
RNAcentral lists this ribosomal RNA (253 nucleotides) under uncultured bacterium. RNAcentral describes it as "partial 16S ribosomal RNA". It matches the Rfam family "Bacterial small subunit ribosomal RNA", at positions 524 to 776 of the family's 1533-position model. The record is from RNAcentral.